RNAcentral lists this long non-coding RNA (287 nucleotides) under Vombatus ursinus (common wombat). RNAcentral describes it as "lncRNA (ENSVURG00010013880.1)". Lineage: Eukaryota; Metazoa; Chordata; Mammalia; Diprotodontia; Vombatidae. The record is from RNAcentral.
CUUCUUGGGAAGCAGAAAGGAAGCCCCAUCAGGGUUUUGUGGAAGACUCUAAAAUUAUAAUUGAAGAUGAAGAUAGCAGCAGUGACCCAGAUUUAAUUAUGUUUGCAGAUGAAAGCGAUGCUGUCGUGACCCUGAAACAUGGAAAGGAGGAGUCUACGAUGAACAAAGGGUUAGUCUCAGUGGAAGAUAAACUGAAACCGUGUGCUGAUACUCCAAAAAUAAAACGAAACUCUUCACCACUUAACUUGGAAAGGUGAGACUACAGCAAUUACAGAGACUCAAAGUAA